AACGCUGGCGGCGUGCUUAACACAUGCAAGUCGAACGAUGAAGCCCAGCUUGCUGGGUGGAUUAGUGGCGAACGGGUGAGUAACACGUGAGUAACCUGCCCUUGACUCUGGGAUAAGCGCUGGAAACGGCGUCUAAUACCGGAUACGACCUGCCCCGGCAUCGGGUGCGGGUGGAAAGUUUUUCGGUCAAGGAUGGACUCGCGGCCUAUCAGCUUGUUGGUGAGGUAAUGGCUCACCAAGGCGACGACGGGUAGCCGGCCUGAGAGGGUGACCGGCCACACUGGGACUGAGACACGGCCCAGACUCCUACGGGAGGCAGCAGUGGGGAAUAUUGCACAAUGGGCGAAAGCCUGAUGCAGCAACGCCGCGUGGGGGAUGACGGCCUUCGGGUUGUAAACCUCUUUUAGUAGGGAAGAAGGGCUUCGGCUUGACGGUACCUGCAGAAAAAGCACCGGCUAACUACGUGCCAGCAGCCGCGGUAAUACGUAGGGUGCAAGCGUUGUCCGGAAUUAUUGGGCGUAAAGAGCUCGUAGGCGGUUUGUCGCGUCUGCUGUGAAAACCCGAGGCUCAACCUCGGGCCUGCAGUGGGUACGGGCAGACUAGAGUGCGGUAGGGGAGAAUGGAAUUCCUGGUGUAGCGGUGGAAUGCGCAGAUAUCAGGAGGAACACCGAUGGCGAAGGCAGUUCUCUGGGCCGUUACUGACGCUGAGGAGCGAAAGCGUGGGGAGCGAACAGGAUUAGAUACCCUGGUAGUCCACGCCGUAAACGUUGGGAACUAGAUGUGGGGACCUUUCCCCGGUCUCCGUGUCGCAGCUAACGCAUUAAGUUCCCCGCCUGGGGAGUACGGCCGCAAGGCUAAAACUCAAAGGAAUUGACGGGGGCCCGCACAAGCGGCGGAGCAUGCGGAUUAAUUCGAUGCAACGCGAAGAACCUUACCAAGGCUUGACAUAUACCGGAAACGUCCAGAAAUGGUCGCCCCGCAAGGUCGGUAUACAGGUGGUGCAUGGUUGUCGUCAGCUCGUGUCGUGAGAUGUUGGGUUAAGUCCCGCAACGAGCGCAACCCUCGUUCUAUGUUGCCAGCACGUUAUGGUGGGAACUCAUAGGAGACUGCCGGGGUCAACUCGGAGGAAGGUGGGGAUGACGUCAAAUCAUCAUGCCCCUUAUGUCUUGGGCUUCACGCAUGCUACAAUGGCCGGUACAAAGGGCUGCGAUACCGUAAGGUGGAGCGAAUCCCAAAAAGCCGGUCUCAGUUCGGAUUGAGGUCUGCAACUCGACCUCAUGAAGUCGGAGUCGCUAGUAAUCGCAGAUCAGCAACGCUGCGGUGAAUACGUUCCCGGGCCUUGUACACACCGCCCGUCAAGUCAUGAAAGUCGGUAACACCCGAAGCCAGUGGCCUAACCGCAAGGAGGGAGCUGUCGAAGGUGGGAUCGGUGAUUAGGACUAAGUCGUAACAAGGUAGCCGUACCGGAAGGUGCGGCUGGAUCACCUCCUUUCU
This 1494-nucleotide ribosomal RNA is filed under the name Rathayibacter tritici. Its description in RNAcentral is "16S ribosomal RNA". It matches the Rfam family "Bacterial small subunit ribosomal RNA". The record is from RNAcentral. Lineage: Bacteria; Bacillati; Actinomycetota; Actinomycetes; Micrococcales; Microbacteriaceae.